RNAcentral lists this long non-coding RNA (561 nucleotides) under Macaca mulatta (Rhesus monkey). RNAcentral's name for it is "lncRNA (ENSMMUG00000057520.1)". The record is from RNAcentral. Lineage: Eukaryota; Metazoa; Chordata; Mammalia; Primates; Cercopithecidae.
CAGUCACUUUUCGUGUGUGCAUUCAUUGGUGUACAGAAUGGAAUUACAGAGGCAGAAGAAAAUGAGGUGUCUGCCAAAUUGAUAGUUUAAAAAACAUUUUAGUGGCCUACUUAACUGUAAUUUGUUUCAGUUUUAAACAAGAAAAACCUCAGCAUGUAAGCAAAGCAGACUGGACUUGAACAGAUAUGGAAUGCAAAGCACACAGGAGAGUCAUGGGGGUCCUGAAGAGGGAUUAAAAGUUGUUAUGCAAUGAACAACAUUGCAUUGGAGACAGAAUGGAUUAAAUUAAACAGUAGUGCAUAUCACUUGGCUGCAGUGACAGGAGUGAAGAACAGAAUGCAUCCACUCCUCCAGUCUCAUUCAGCUACCUCUUUCUCCUGAAAUUGGAUUGGGAUUCCAGGACACCUCUCAACCUACAGGAAACACUGGAUCUAAAGCUGAAACAGGUACCCAGUGCCUUUUGAAAAAUUAACUGCUCUAUUGAAAUAUAAUUUACAUAUCAUAACCCAGUACAGUUUCCACCCACAACAAAAUCCCUGAUUCUGGAACUUAAAAGGAAAA